RNAcentral lists this non-coding RNA (177 nucleotides) under Desulfuribacillus alkaliarsenatis. RNAcentral describes it as "MoCo sequence". It matches the Rfam family "Molybdenum/Tungsten riboswitch aptamer (Moco RNA motif)". The record is from Rfam by way of RNAcentral. Lineage: Bacteria; Bacillati; Bacillota; Desulfuribacillia; Desulfuribacillales; Desulfuribacillaceae.
AAAACAUCAAUUGUCCGAACCUACUUGCCUACGUUGCAUUAUGCAAUAUGGAAGUAAGGUCGUUGUUUGAAGAAGCGAUGGUGAAGCAGGUAGUCACGAGAUUUCUUUGAAGCAGCCAGGGUAUAAUAGGAAACAAUUAUGCCUUCCCAUUGUAUAAGGACGAUGGUUAUAUUUUCA